GGCGGACGUUGCUUUUCUAUUGCGGUUCAUGGCUUUGCGGACCUACAUCAACAUCCGAACACGGCGGAUCAAACAUGUUCGCGCGGCUCGCGCUUGUGUUGUUAGCUCGACUAGCUGCUAUCGAAAAAUGGCGGAUCACAAAGUUUCUCUCGUUUCGUUGGUCACGGUAACCCCGCCCCCAGCCGCUGACGUAAGCGGUUCUUACUUCUAGACCAGCAAUGAUAUGAUGCUACUUAAGAACCACUUUUACUGGUUCGGAGCUGGUGCUUUGGUGGUGGAAAACCAAAGAACCGUUGUUGCCCCUUUUCCACCAAGGCAGAACUGGUGCUAGUUCGGAGCCAGAGCCUAGUUUCAAAUCGGUUCUUUGGUUUGGGGUUCGGGUGUAGACGGUGGAGAUAGGACUCAAAAGGAGAUUUUCAAACAAAAAGACUUUAAUAGUCACCAGAUCCAAAAUCUAACUCAAAAAUGCCAAGGGCAAAAACGCAGACAAGGACCAGGAACAAGACACAACCUCCCACAUUCAACAAUUACGUCCAACAAUGACGCGACCAGAGACAAGAGACAGGACAGGACAGGACAAGGGAUCAGCUCUAGGCGUGUCCUUACAGAUUCCUCUCAACAGUUGAAGAGCAGGCAUGUUCGGCAUAUCCUCAAGCAGGAAACCACCUAAAAGCAAUUACAGCUUUGGAAAACAUUAUCAAUUACACCUCAAUUGACGUCACAUCAGUUGGCUGUGUGAUGUGUGUUGCACCAUAUGUGUUGCAUCAUAUGUGGCAUACAGAUGGACACAUGCAGAGGCACACGCAAGGUUACACACACGCAACCCUUCCCUCACACACACACUCAGAGAGAAUGGUCUCCUUGGCUCCCCAGGUACUUUGUGGCUUGAAUGCCUCCAGGCAGAACACAUACUGUCGACCCAGCAACACACUCACACGCACGCACACACACACACACAC
Long non-coding RNA from Gasterosteus aculeatus aculeatus (three-spined stickleback), 959 nucleotides. Lineage: Eukaryota; Metazoa; Chordata; Actinopteri; Perciformes; Gasterosteidae. The record is from Ensembl.